CCUACGGGUGGCAGCAGUGGGGAAUUUUCCGCAAUGCGCGAAAGCGUGACGCAGCGACGCCGCGUGCAUGACGAAGGCCUUCGGGUCGUAAAGUUCUUUCGUCAGGGAAGAAAAUGCCUAUUAGUAACUGUAUAAGUCUUGACGGUACCUGUAUAAGAAGCGACGGCUAACUCUGUGCCAGCAGCCGCGGUAAUACGGAGGGGGCGAGCGUUGUUCGGAGAUAAUGGGCGUAAAGAGCAAGUAGGCAGUUUUGUAAGUCAUGAGUCAAAGACUAGAGCUCAACUUUAGUAAGGCUAGUGAUACUAUAAUACUAGAGUAACAGAGAGGAUAGCAGAAUUCUUAGUGUAGCGGUGAAAUGCGUAGAUAUUAGGAGGAAUACCAUCAGCGAAGGCGGCAAUCUGGCUGGAAACUGACGCUGAGCUGCGAAAGCGUGGGUAGCAAACAGGAUUAGAUACCCUAGUAGUC
Molecule: ribosomal RNA, 465 nt
Filed under: uncultured bacterium
Lineage: Bacteria
Description: partial 16S ribosomal RNA
Rfam family: Bacterial small subunit ribosomal RNA
Source: RNAcentral